Molecule: ribosomal RNA, 456 nt
Filed under: Corynebacterium matruchotii
Lineage: Bacteria; Bacillati; Actinomycetota; Actinomycetes; Mycobacteriales; Corynebacteriaceae
Description: bacterial SSU rRNA
Rfam family: Bacterial small subunit ribosomal RNA
Source: RNAcentral
GACGAACGCUGGCGGCGUGCUUAACACAUGCAAGUCGAACGGAAAGGCCCCCACCUUGGUGGGGGUGCUCGAGUGGCGAACGGGUGAGUAACACGUGGGUGAUCUGCCCUGUACUUCGGGAUAAGCUUGGGAAACUGGGUCUAAUACCGGAUAGGACCAUGGUUUAGUGUCUCAUGGUGGAAAAAUUAUUGUUUUGGUGCAGGAUGAGCUCGCGGCCUAUCAGCUUGUUGGUGGGGUAAUGGCCUACCAAGGCGUCGACGGGUAGCCGGCCUGAGAGGGUGGACGGCCACAUUGGGACUGAGAUACGGCCCAGACUCCUACGGGAGGCAGCAGUGGGGAAUAUUGCACAAUGGGCGCAAGCCUGAUGCAGCGACGCCGCGUGGGGGAUGACGGCCUUCGGGUUGUAAACUCCUUUCGUUAGGGACGAAGCCACACCUUUUUUGAGUGUGGGACGGU